UGAGGAAUAUUGGUCAAUGGACGGAAGUCUGAACCAGCCAAGUAGCGUGCAGGAUGACGGCCCUAUGGGUUGUAAACUGCUUUUGUAUGGGGAUAAAGUUAGGGACGUGUCCCUAUUUGCAGGUACCAUACGAAUAAGGACCGGCUAAUUCCGUGCCAGCAGCCGCGGUAAUACGGAAGGUCCAGGCGUUAUCCGGAUUUAUUGGGUUUAAAGGGAGCGUAGGCUGGAGAUUAAGUGUGUUGUGAAAUGUAGACGCUCAACGUCUGAAUUGCAGCGCAUACUGGUUUCCUUGAGUACGCACAACGUUGGCGGAAUUCGUCGUGUAGCGGUGAAAUGCUUAGAUAUGACGAAGAACUCCGAUUGCGAAGGCAGCUUACGGGAGCACAACUGACGCUGAAGCUCGAAGGUGCGGGUAUCAAACAGGAUUAGAUACCCUGGUAGUCCGCACAGUAAACGAUGGAUGCCCGUUGUUAGUUCACCUAAGAAUUAGCGACCAAGCGAAAGCAUUAAGCAUCCCACCUGGGGAGUACGCCGGCAACGGUG
RNAcentral lists this ribosomal RNA (543 nucleotides) under uncultured bacterium. RNAcentral's name for it is "bacterial SSU rRNA". It matches the Rfam family "Bacterial small subunit ribosomal RNA", at positions 355 to 896 of the family's 1533-position model. The record is from RNAcentral.